AACGCGAAGAACCUUACCUGGGCUAGAAAGUACGCGGACCUGGUAGAAAUAUCGGGGUGCUCUUCGGAGAACGCGUGGUUAGGUGCUGCAUGGCUGUCGUCAGCUCGUGCCGUGAGGUGUUGGGUUAAGUCCCGCAACGAGCGCAACCCUUACUCGUAGUUGCUACCCGCAAGGGAGAACUCUACGAGGACUGCUCCGGAUAACGGAGAGGAAGGUGGGGAUGACGUCAAGUCAGCACGGCCUUUAUGUCCAGGGCUACACACGUGUUACAAUGCACGGUACAGACUGUUGCGAACCCGCGAGGGGGAGCUAAUCGGAUAAAACCGUGCUCAGUUCGGAUUGCAGUCUGCAACUCGGCUGCAUGAAGCUGGAAUCGCUAGUAAUGGCGUAUCAGAUCGACGCCGUGAAUACGUUCCCGGGCCUUGUACACACCGCUGUA
This 439-nucleotide ribosomal RNA is filed under the name uncultured bacterium. RNAcentral's name for it is "bacterial SSU rRNA". It matches the Rfam family "Bacterial small subunit ribosomal RNA", at positions 958 to 1398 of the family's 1533-position model. The record is from RNAcentral.